This 255-nucleotide ribosomal RNA is filed under the name uncultured bacterium. RNAcentral describes it as "partial 16S ribosomal RNA". It matches the Rfam family "Bacterial small subunit ribosomal RNA", at positions 524 to 776 of the family's 1533-position model. The record is from RNAcentral.
UACAGAGGGUGCGAGCGUUGUUCGGAAUUACUGGGCGUAAAGCGCGCGCAGGCGGCCCUUUAAGUCUACCCGGGAAAUGCCGGAGCUCAACUCCGUGCACGCCGGGGGAUACUGGGGGGCUGGAGACAUGUAGAGGCAAGCGGAAUUCCGGGUGUAGCGGUGGAAUGCGUAGAGAUCCGGAAGAACACCUGAGGCGAAGGCGGCUUGCUGGGCAUGAUCUGACGCUGAGGCGCGAAAGCGUGGGGAGCAAACAGG